UGUAUGGAAUAUCUAAAUUCUAGUAUGAAAAAUUAAUGAUUUAAGUCCUUCUUAAAUGAGGCCAUUUACCCAUAGAGGGUGCCAGGCCCGUAUAACAUUAAUGAUUACUAGAAGAUAUUUCCAAAGAGUCGUGUUGCUUGAUAGUGCAGCACUAAGUGGGUGGUAAACUCCAUCUAAAACUAAAUAUAACCAUGAGACCGAUAGUAAACAAGUACCGUGAGGGAAAGUUGAAAAGAACUCUGAAUAGAGAGUUAAAUAGUACGUGAAACUGCUUAGAGGUUAAGCCCGAUGAACCUGAAUAUCCAUUAUAAAGAAUUCAUCAUCAAUAUUGUUAUAUAUAAAAAAUAUAAUGAUAAUGGUGUGCAUUUUCUUUAUAUAAGGACAUUGUAAUUUAUUAACAUAUAAAUUUAUUAUAAGAUCAAUUGCAAGAGUUUAUUUUAAUUAUUUUACUUCGGUGAUUUAUAUUAAAUAAAUGCUAUUGAUUUAAUAAAGUGUUGAUAAAUUAAAUCAUAUGUAUAAUGCAUAAAUUUCAUUAUGAAAUUUUAUAAUUUUUAAUUAUACGCAUUUAUACGAUUAACAAUGCGAAAGAUUCAGGAUACCUUCGGGACCCGUCUUGAAACACGGACCAAGGAGUCUAACAUAUGUGCAAGUUUUUGGGUAAAUAUUUAACAAAACCCAUAAACAUAAUUAACUUAACUAAAUAAUGGGAUGAAUUUUGAUAUUUAUUUAUAUAAAUAUUUUAAUACAAUCCCGGGGCGUUCUAUUGUUAUGUAUAAUGAUAUUUUAUAAUAUUAUUUAUGCCUCUAACUAGAGCGUACCUUGAGCAUAUAUGCUGUGACCCGAAAGAUGGUGAACUAUACUUGAUCAGGUUGAAGUCAGGGGAAACCCUGAUGGAAGACCGAAAC
Molecule: ribosomal RNA, 905 nt
Filed under: Ophiomyia sp. Opfl
Lineage: Eukaryota; Metazoa; Arthropoda; Insecta; Diptera; Agromyzidae
Description: eukaryotic LSU rRNA
Rfam family: Eukaryotic large subunit ribosomal RNA
Source: RNAcentral